CUUUUUUUGAUGAUUUUAUUUAUAUAAGCUAUACAGAGCUCUCUACCAUCAAACAGAUGCUAGACAUUAAGACAACCAAAUAAUGUUUGUUUAUUUGUCAAAUAUAUACAAGAGUGUACACUAUUUAAUGCUAACUCAAGACAACUGGGUAUUCAGGUAACAUACAAAAAUACAUUUGCUUAGUGUGUCCGAGUGUGUCUCAGGUGUACAGACACACAAGUGCAGAGAACUGCAGUUACAAAUUGUUAUGCCAGAUAAUGUGAUUUACCCAAAGAUUUUUACCAACAUCUUGUCUAUGUCAAAUCUUUUCUCAUUGAUACAGUUCUGCAACAAAGACACACGCAGGAAAAGGAAUUCUGUUUCUGUAUCUAGAAUCCAUACCAGGAAGAAGCCCAGGUACCACAAGGUAUGAUGGCUUGAGAUUUCAUUGAGGAAGAAAUCAUCAAGCGAUGUGCUGGACCUUAUGUCAGAGAUAUGUUUCUGAGAGCAUGUGAUUUCUUUCAAGACAAUGACCAGGAGACACACUGCCCCCCAGGUUUGCAUUGCAAAUGAGGGGCAUAAACUGGGUCAAGACGCCAGCAGAAUGCAGUGACGUAUCUAUGGAUGCAGUGACGUAUCUAUGGAUGCAGCGACGUAUCUACGGAUGCAGUGACGUAUCUACAGAUGCAGUGACGUAUCUGCGGAUGCAGUGCCGUAUCUAUGGAUGCAGUGACGUAUCUACGGAUGCGGUGACGUAUCUACAGAUGCAGGGACGUAUCUAUGGAUGCAGUGCCGUAUCUAUGGAUGCAGUGACGUAUCUACAGAUGCAGGGACGUAUCUACUGAUGCAGGGACGUAUCUAUGGAUGCAGGGACGUAUCUAUGGAUGCAGUGAUGUAUCUACGGAUGCAGUGACGUAUCUACGGAUGCAGUGACGUAUCUACGGAUGCAGGGACGUAUCUAUGGAUGCAGUGAUGUAUCUACGGAUGCAGUGACGUAUCUACGGAUGCAGUGAUGUAUCUACCGAUGGCAGUGACGUAUCUACGGAUGCAGUGACGUAUCUAUGGAUGCAGGGACGUAUCUACAGAUGCAGAACAAAUAGACUAAUCCAAUGCAGCAGUGGUGUGUGGGUG
This 1110-nucleotide long non-coding RNA is filed under the name Salmo salar (Atlantic salmon). RNAcentral's name for it is "lncRNA (ENSSSAG00000085195.1)". Lineage: Eukaryota; Metazoa; Chordata; Actinopteri; Salmoniformes; Salmonidae. The record is from RNAcentral.